Musa acuminata subsp. malaccensis (wild Malaysian banana) is the source of this 438-nucleotide long non-coding RNA. RefSeq lists it as uncharacterized. The record is from RefSeq and is a predicted model, not a curated record. Lineage: Eukaryota; Viridiplantae; Streptophyta; Magnoliopsida; Zingiberales; Musaceae.
CUGAUGCCCGCUGCCACCAGAAUUAAAGGAAGAAGAAAGGCGGAGAAGGCGUUCGAUCGAUGAGAUGUUUUUGAACAGCACAUGUUCAUCGUCAAGCCAAGUCACACACAGUGAUUGAUACCAGACAAAGCUGGUGGUGUCCUGCGCUAUAAAUUCUCACACAUGGCUCCUCGGCAGACUUCCAUGGCCGUGUGCGCUUUGACCAUGGGAUGCUGGAAGAGCUUCUCCAUUAUUGAUGUCCAUGUUACCUUCUACAUGAUUGCCUUCAAAACAUGAGCUGCAACGCAGAUUAAUGACAGCAUGUUGUACUUGAGCCAAAGCUGUGAUGUCAUGGAAUGUAAUCUCCCACACAGGGAACCUUCUCAUGACUGCUGUUCUUGGCGAAAACAGAGCACAAGGAAAUAAUUGCUGCAAGCUUGUAGGUAACUUUGGGUUUCA